AAAAAGACAAACGCUGGUUUUUAUGUCCAACGUUUGACCGUACAUCUUAUUUAAAAAAAUUAUAAAAAAAAUUAAAAAGACAAGUCACGCAUAAAAUAUUAAUCAUGUUUUAUCAUCUAACAACAAUGAAAAUACGAAUUAUAAAAAAAAAUUUAUAAGACAGACAGUUAAAAUUGAACACGGAAACCCAGUGUUUAUCUUUUU
Molecule: microRNA precursor, 204 nt
Organism: Oryza sativa Japonica Group (Japanese rice)
Lineage: Eukaryota; Viridiplantae; Streptophyta; Magnoliopsida; Poales; Poaceae
Rfam family: MIR812 microRNA precursor family
Source: Rfam